This 469-nucleotide ribosomal RNA is filed under the name Bacillaceae bacterium oral taxon D26. RNAcentral's name for it is "bacterial SSU rRNA". It matches the Rfam family "Bacterial small subunit ribosomal RNA", at positions 36 to 500 of the family's 1533-position model. Lineage: Bacteria; Bacillati; Bacillota; Bacilli; Caryophanales; Bacillaceae. The record is from RNAcentral.
GACGAACCUGGCGGCGUGCCUAAUACAUGCAGUCGAGCGGAAAUUUUAUUGGUGCUUGCACCUUUAAAAUUCAGCGGCGGACGGGUAGUAACACGUGGGUAACCUACCUUAUAGAUUGGGAUAACUCCGGGAAACCGGGGCUAAUACCGAAUAAUACUAACACAUGUUUGAGUUGAAGACGGCAUCUCGCUGUCACUAUAAGAUGGACCCGCGGCGCAUUAGCUAGUGGUGAGGUAACGGCUCACCAAGGCAACGAUGCGUAGCCGACCUGAGAGGGUGAUCGGCCACACUGGGACUGAGACACGGCCCGACUCCUACGGGAGGCAGCAGUGGGAAUCUUCCACAAUGGCGAAAGUCUGAUGGAGAACGCGCGUGAGUGAGAAGGAUUUCGGUUCGUAAAACUCUUCAAGGGAGAACAAGUAGCGUGUAACUGGCGCUACCUGACGGUACCUUUAGAAAGCCACGCUAA